GGCUGCAGAAUUUAUAACUGUACAAAGGUAGCAUAAUAAUUUGUUUUUUAAUUAAAAACUAGUAUGAAUGAUUAAAUGAAAUAUAAACUGUUUCAAUUAAAUAAAAAUUUAAAUUUUUAUUUAAGUUAAAAAACUUAAAUAAUUUUAAAAGACGACAAGACCCUAUAGAAUUUUAUUUAUUAUUUAAAAAUAAAAUUUAAUUAAUUUAAUUAAAUUUUAAUAAUAAAUUUAAUUGGGGUAAUUUAAAAAUUAAAAAAAUUUUUUUUUAUAUAAACAUUAAUUAAUGAAUAUAAAAUCUUAAAUUUUAAAUUAUUAAAAUUAAUUACCUUAGGGAUAACAGCAUAAUUUUUUUUAAAAGAUCUUAUU
Molecule: ribosomal RNA, 366 nt
Filed under: Chorebus pachysemoides
Lineage: Eukaryota; Metazoa; Arthropoda; Insecta; Hymenoptera; Braconidae
Description: partial large subunit ribosomal RNA
Source: RNAcentral